AUUGAACGCUGGCGGCAGGCUUAACACAUGCAAGUCGAGCGGGGAUUGGGUGCUUGCACCUAAUCUUAGCGGCGGACGGGUGGGUAAUGCUUAGGAAUCUGCCAUUUAGUGGGGGACAACAUUCCGAAAGGGAUGCUAAUACCGCAUACGCCCUACGGGGGAAAGCAGGGGAUCUUCGGACCUUGCGCUAAAUGAUGAGCCUAAGUCGGAUUAGCUAGUUGGUGGGGUAAAGGCCUACCAAGGCGACGAUCUGUAGCGGGUCUGAGAGGAUGAUCCGCCACACUGGGACUGAGACACGGCCCAGACUCCUACGGGAGGCAGCAGUGGGGAAUAUUGGACAAUGGGCGGAAGCCUGAUCCAGCCAUGCCGCGUGUGUGAAGAAGGCCUUUUGGUUGUAAAGCACUUUAAGCGAGGAGGAGGCUACCUGGAUUAAUACUCUAGGAUAGUGGACGUUACUCGCAGAAUAAGCACCGGCUAACUCUGUGCCAGCAGCCGCGGUAAUACAGAGGGUGCGAGCGUUAAUCGGAUUUACUGGGCGUAAAGCGUGCGUAGGCGGCUGAUUAAGUCGGAUGUGAAAUCCCUGAGCUUAACUUAGGAAUUGCAUUCGAUACUGGUCAGCUAGAGUAUGGGAGAGGAUGGUAGAAUUCCAGGUGUAGCGGUGAAAUGCGUAGAGAUCUGGAGGAAUACCGAUGGCGAAGGCAGCCAUCUGGCCUAAUACUGACGCUGAGGUACGAAAGCAUGGGGAGCAAACAGGAUUAGAUACCCUGGUAGUCCAUGCCGUAAACGAUGUCUACUAGCCGUUGGGGCCUUUGAGGCUUUAGUGGCGCAGCUAACGCGAUAAGUAGACCGCCUGGGGAGUACGGUCGCAAGACUAAAACUCAAAUGAAUUGACGGGGGCCCGCACAAGCGGUGGAGCAUGUGGUUUAAUUCGAUGCAACGCGAAGAACCUUACCUGGCCUUGACAUAGUAGAAACUUUCCAGAGAUGGAUUGGUGC
Molecule: ribosomal RNA, 995 nt
Filed under: uncultured bacterium
Lineage: Bacteria
Description: bacterial SSU rRNA
Rfam family: Bacterial small subunit ribosomal RNA
Source: RNAcentral